This is a long non-coding RNA of Panicum virgatum (switchgrass), 1740 nucleotides long. RefSeq lists it as uncharacterized. The transcript is spliced from 3 exons. Lineage: Eukaryota; Viridiplantae; Streptophyta; Magnoliopsida; Poales; Poaceae. The record is from RefSeq and is a predicted model, not a curated record.
GUCGCGCCCGUUCCGUCCCGGGCGCCGCGCCAAGGUCCGCGCCGCUGCCACGCCGUCCGCGCCGGGCCGUCCCGCCGGCCGUCUCUUUUCCGCGACACCCCUCCUCUCCGACCCCUCUGCCGCGAGAGCCAUGGCCGCCCGCCUUCGCCAUACCGCCAGGGCGCUAGCCAUGCAUGCGCUCGGCACCUCCCCUCACUUGCAGGCCGCCGCCGCACCUCCGCAGAUGACGAUGUCGAUACAGGAGCGCGCCGCCGCUGCGUGGUGUUCGUGGAUCGGCCACCAUGGUUCCCCUGUCUGACUGCCUCAACCGUCGCCGCUGUGCGCUGGGCAGUGCGUCUGAUUAUUUUCCCGUGACCUGCGGCCCUCUCCGCCCUGCCCCCGCUCCAUCUCGGCGAGUGCCACCGCCGUGUGCCGUUUGGGGGCGGCCAUCCCCGGGGUUCCUCCUCCUCAUCCGUGUGCACCGCCCCACCCCUCCUCGCUGAGAUCCCCCACACUACGAUCUCCGCUCCCCAACCUCCAUGGAUGAAGUUUCUAAUCGAUCAUGGCAGAUGCUAUUUUCUGCCGAUGCCGAUUCAAUCCAUUGAGUUCCUUGCCAAUCCAUUCAAUCCAUGGCCAAUCCGAUUGAUGGUGAGUUCUUGUCGAUCCAUUUGAUGGUGAGUUCUAACCGAUCCAAUACAUUCAAUAGAUUUUGACCAAUGAAAUUUUCUGGCCGAUUCAAUCCAUCUCUAAAUUGAAAUGUGUUCAAUUUUUCUAGCCAAUCCAACUGAGGGUGCGAAUAAUCCAGCUGAUCCAUACAUGUUAAUCCAGUUCCACGUCAUCAUGUUCAUCUACCAUACAAUUUGAUUCUGUUGCAUUGUUGUACUGAACCAAGUAUUUGCUCGUCAAGCCACUGUAAACCAAGCCGUGUGUGGAUAGAAACUCAUCUGAAAUGAUGUGCAAGUACAUCAGUCAAGCAUAUGUAAAUCUAUUUUUUCUACUUCAUCCAUUUGUGCAUUUCUCAUGGUGGUGGCUGCAGUGUAUUGAGCAUACAAAUUAUUUCCUAUUCGCAAAAAAACACAAAUAUGUUUGAUUUAUAUUACUUCUGUUUAUCUGGAAUGGUAGUGAGAUGUUUUGGCCUUGACAAGUUUGUACAGAUUCAAUUGUUGUAUUUUCUGUCAGAGGGGAGCAACGUCUAUAUGGGAGAUAAACACUUCAUUGCAUGUUCUUGAUUUUGCCUUUGUAUAAACUAUUACGCUGUCAACAUGGAGCUUUGAUUUUUAUGAUGCAUUCUGCUCCAUUUCUCAUUUUACAUAUAAUACACAGGCACUUCCCCAAUUGAGAUGGAGUACAUGAAUGGAUGGAUGGUUUUAGCAAGCACAAUAUGCUGAGGGCCGCGUAUGCUAUCAUCUGGGAGGUAGGAGCAGGUGUCCACUUGUAAACUGAGGGGCUUCAGCACCGAAGCACUAAUUUUAACACAUAAAUGGGACAGUGAGAAUUUACCAAGUGACAGCAUGAUUCUGGGCAUACUCACUUGUGCAUUCAACACUCCAGCCAACUGUUGGUCUUGUGUUCACUCAACAAUCCUUGGCAUUAUUCAUUAGCCUAAGGUAUUCCUUGCCAAUUAAACCUAUGUAUGCUACAACAAAUUUUGUAUUCUCUGGUUUGAUCUCCUUGUGGAUCUGCAUUCUUCUAAUUUUCAUGCCUUGUCAACUACCAAUGUCACAGUGCUUCCUACCAUUUAUCUGGAUGUUUAGUACCAAA